AGAGUUUGAUCCUGGCUCAGAACGAACGCUGGCGGCAGGCCUAACACAUGCAAGUCGAACGAGAAGCCACCUUCGGGUGGUAGACAGUGGCAGACGGGUGAGUAACGCGUGGGAACGUGCCUUUCGGUUCGGGAUAACCCAGGGAAACUUGGGCUAAUACCGGAUACGCCCUUCGGGGGAAAGAUUCAUUGCCGAAAGAUCGGCCCGCGUCGGAUUAGCUAGUUGGUGGGGUAAUGGCCUACCAAGGCGACGAUCCGUAGCUGGUCUGAGAGGAUGACCAGCCACACUGGGACUGAGACACGGCCCAGACUCCUACGGGAGGCAGCAGUGGGGAAUAUUGGACAAUGGGCGCAAGCCUGAUCCAGCCAUGCCGCGUGGGUGAAGAAGGCCUUAGGGUUGUAAACCCCUUUCAGCGGGGAAGAUAAUGACGGUACCCGCAGAAGAAGUCCCGGCUAACUCCGUGCCAGCAGCCGCGGUA
RNAcentral lists this ribosomal RNA (478 nucleotides) under uncultured Pseudomonadota bacterium. RNAcentral describes it as "bacterial SSU rRNA". It matches the Rfam family "Bacterial small subunit ribosomal RNA", at positions 8 to 522 of the family's 1533-position model. Lineage: Bacteria; Pseudomonadati; Pseudomonadota. The record is from RNAcentral.